UUUGUAAGCCUAUUUUUCUAGACUUUUUUCUAUUUUCUUUUAUUACUCAAUACAGAUAUGACUUUUUCUCAUUUGAAUGAGGAGAAUAUGCUUCUAAUUUUCUUUCUUUGCAUUUUUAUUGUUUGGAAAGCCUGUGAAACGACAGCUCAUACAAGCUAAUAGAAAUAUAUAAAAGCACGGAAACAAGAACAAAAAGAGAAGGGGUAUAGACCAAAACCUUCUCAAGCUAAAAAGCUAAGCAAAAAGCUGGUGGCAAAACGCCACACCCAACAAAGAGUAGAAAUGAAAAGAUAAAAAA
Medicago truncatula (barrel medic) is the source of this 298-nucleotide long non-coding RNA. RefSeq lists it as uncharacterized. The transcript is spliced from 2 exons. The record is from RefSeq and is a predicted model, not a curated record. NCBI's taxonomy places the organism in Eukaryota, Viridiplantae, Streptophyta, Magnoliopsida, Fabales, Fabaceae.